Molecule: ribosomal RNA, 257 nt
Filed under: uncultured bacterium
Lineage: Bacteria
Description: partial 16S ribosomal RNA
Source: RNAcentral
CUGCUGCCUUCCGUAGGUGUCUGGACCGUGUCUCAGUUCCAGUGUGGCCGGACAUCCUCUCAGACCGGCUACCCGUCAUCGCCUUGGUGAGCCGUUACCUCACCAACUAACUAAUAGGCCGCGAGCCCAUCCCCAAGCGCAUUGCUGCUUUAAAUCUUUCGAUACUAUGCGGUAUUAAUCCCAGUUUCCCAGGGCUAUCCCGCUCUCGGGGGCAGGUUACUCACGUGUUACUCACCCGGUGCGCCACUAGAGAAUUA